Oryza brachyantha (malo sina) is the source of this 402-nucleotide long non-coding RNA. RefSeq lists it as uncharacterized. Lineage: Eukaryota; Viridiplantae; Streptophyta; Magnoliopsida; Poales; Poaceae. The transcript has 3 exons. The record is from RefSeq and is a predicted model, not a curated record.
AUGCAUUUGUGCGUAUAUGCUACUUGGUGGUGGAUUGUCUGUUCCCUAAUCAGUUAAGAAAUUGUAGAGUAAAUGAUCGUGAGCUGUGUAUUCACCUGUAAAGUUUCAAGUGAGGGAAAACCAAAUGGAGGAAAUGCUGAUCAACUAUGUCUGAAGGAAAUAUUGACCGAUCAUGGAGAAGUUUUUGUACAGAAUCAGGUGCAGUAACAAGGGAGCACUGAAUGCUGCACUAAUAAGUCCCCAGGGACCAUUGGAGGUGCUAUCUGACCCCAUGCUGGAAGUAGCUGGCCCACUAUUCAAGACAAGGCAGGGAAGGUAGCCACGUCUCGUGCUGUUGUCCAUAAAAGAAAGGAUGUGCACCAAUGAUAUGGAGAUACUUGUCAUGCACUAUAUCCACGAAUU